RNAcentral lists this ribosomal RNA (428 nucleotides) under uncultured bacterium. Its description in RNAcentral is "bacterial SSU rRNA". It matches the Rfam family "Bacterial small subunit ribosomal RNA", at positions 354 to 796 of the family's 1533-position model. The record is from RNAcentral.
GUGGGGAAUAUUGGACAAUGGGGGGAACCCUGAUCCAGCGACGCCGCGUGAGUGAAGAAGUAUCUCGGUAUGUAAAGCUCUAUCAGCAGGGAAGAAAGAAAUGACGGUACCUGACUAAGAAGCCCCGGCUAACUACGUGCCAGCAGCCGCGGUAAUACGUAGGGGGCAAGCGUUAUCCGGAUUUACUGGGUGUAAAGGGAGCGUAGACGGCUGAGCAAGUCUGAAGUGAAAGGCGGGGGCCCAACCCCCGGACUGCUUUGGAAACUGUAUAGCUAGAGUGCAGGAGAGGUAAGUGGAAUUCCUAGUGUAGCGGUGAAAUGCGUAGAUAUUAGGAGGAACACCAGUGGCGAAGGCGGCUUACUGGACUGUAACUGACGUUGAGGCUCGAAAGCGUGGGGAGCAAACAGGAUUAGAAACCCCGGUAGUCC